AUUAGCCUCCAUUAUGCUGCUGUCCCAUGCUCUAGAGAACAUGCUUUAACCUCUCUGGUGAGAGAAUGUCUAGGUUUAUGCUUAAUGCAGAAGACUGAGGGUCUACCAGUCAGUAAAUAGACUGGUAAGCUAGUCAUCCUGCCCAAACACCCCACUCUCUCCCUCACCGGGUACCACCAAUUCCUCAUCCUCUCUCAGGUUGUGCAGUGUGAAAUCAAUUUCUGCUCUUCUUUCUCCACUGCUGACUAUGGUUUCCUUGUCAGCACUCACUACUGAUUUGCUUCUUGGGCUUCAAUAUGGUAUGGUCAUCAAACUUCUCCUGUUCUUUCUCCCUAUGGAUCUGUCAAUUUCUCCAUGUAUCUUCAUGUAUUUUGGAAAGGAAAAAUAAAACUUGAGAGUAGGAUCUGGUAUUCUUGAUGGAAAAUCUCCACUCAUUCUUCAGUGACCUCCUUCUACUGUCAUUAACAACUUCCAAGUUGCCACAUCCCGUACCCCUACCUGCUCUCAUUUAUGUAAGCUCUGCAGCAUUUGAAACUGACUACAAGUUCACUAAAUUUGUGGAACUCUCAUGAGUCACAGCACUGCAAGUUUACAUCUCUGUCCUGCUUCAAGCCAUC
This 617-nucleotide long non-coding RNA is filed under the name Marmota monax (woodchuck). The record is from RNAcentral. Lineage: Eukaryota; Metazoa; Chordata; Mammalia; Rodentia; Sciuridae.